Molecule: ribosomal RNA, 432 nt
Filed under: uncultured bacterium
Lineage: Bacteria
Description: partial 16S ribosomal RNA
Rfam family: Bacterial small subunit ribosomal RNA
Source: RNAcentral
AACGAACGCUGGCGGCAUGCCUAACACAUGCAAGUCGAACGAGACCUUCGGGUCUAGUGGCGCACGGGUGCGUAACGCGUGGGAACCUGCCCUUAGGUUCGGAAUAACUCCCCGAAAGGGGUGCUAAUACCGGAUAAUGUCUUCGGACCAAAGAUUUAUCGCCUUUGGAUGGGCCCGCGUUGGAUUAGCUAGUUGGUAGGGUAAAAGCCUACCAAGGCGACGAUCCAUAGCUGGUCUGAGAGGAUGAUCAGCCACACUGGGACUGAGACACGGCCCAGACUCCUACGGGAGGCAGCAGUGGGGAAUAUUGGACAAUGGGCGAAAGCCUGAUUCAGCAAGGCCGCGUGAGUGAUGAAGGCCUUAGGGUUGUAAAGCUCUUUUACCCGGGAUGAUAAUGACAGUACCGGGAGAAUAAGCUCCGGCUAACUCCGU